Long non-coding RNA from Limulus polyphemus (Atlantic horseshoe crab), 413 nucleotides. RefSeq lists it as uncharacterized. The record is from RefSeq and is a predicted model, not a curated record. The transcript has 4 exons. Lineage: Eukaryota; Metazoa; Arthropoda; Merostomata; Xiphosura; Limulidae.
AUGAUUUCCAAGUACAAAGAUCAAUGAGUUGGCAGCUUAGAACUUUCUUUCGUUGCUUAUCAAGGGAGUGAGAGGUGAUUGUCGUAUUUGGGAGCUAAUUCAUAAAUGGACAAACCAAGGCUUGCCCGUGUGACUAAGGUUCUUGGAAGGACAGGGUCCCAAGGCCAGUGUACUCAGGUACGAGUUGAAUUCUUGGAUGAAAGUAACAGAUCCAUCAUCCGUAAUGUCAAAGGACCCGUGCGUGAAGGUGAUAUACUGAACCUGCUAGAAUCUGAGAGAGAAGCAAGGAGACUUCGUUGAUAAUCUGUGUGUUAAGGUAUAUGUAUUUGAAUAUCAACCAGUAUGUGAUCACCAUUUCAAGAACUAUUCCAUUGUAAACAUUGGAACUUGGAAUUAAAAAAAUUUUAAUUUCA